Molecule: ribosomal RNA, 253 nt
Filed under: uncultured bacterium
Lineage: Bacteria
Description: partial 16S ribosomal RNA
Rfam family: Bacterial small subunit ribosomal RNA
Source: RNAcentral
CACGGGGGGAGCAAGCGUUGUUCGGAAUCACUGGGCGUAAAGGGCGUGUAGGCGGUCAAGUAAGUGGAAUGUGAAAGCCCCCGGCUCACCCGGGGAUCUGCAUCCCAAACUGCUUGGCUUGAGUACGGGAGAGGAUAGGGGAAUUCCUGGUGUAGCGGUGAAAUGCGUAGAUAUCAGGAGGAACACCGGUGGCGAAGGCGCCUAUCUGGCCCGAUACUGACGCUGAGGCGCGAAAGCGUGGGUAGCAAACAGG